AGUGAACGCUGGCGGUAGGCCUAACACAUGCAAGUCGAACGGCAGCACAGUAAGAGCUUGCUCUUACGGGUGGCGAGUGGCGGACGGGUGAGGAAUACAUCGGAAUCUACUUUUUCGUGGGGGAUAACGUAGGGAACCUUACGCUAAUACCGCAUACGACCUACGGGUGAAAGCAGGGGAUCUUCGGACCUUGCGCGAUUGAAUGAGCCGAUGUCGGAUUAGCUAGUUGGCGGGGUAAAGGCCCACCAAGGCGACGAUCCGUAGCUGGUCUGAGAGGAUGAUCAGCCACACUGGAACUGAGACACGGUCCAGACUCCUACGGGAGGCAGCAGUGGGGAAUAUUGGACAAUGGGCGCAAGCCUGAUCCAGCCAUACCGCGUGGGUGAAGAAGGCCUUCGGGUUGUAAAGACCUUUUGUUGGGAAAGAAAAGCAGCAGGUUAAUACCCCGCUGUUCUGACGGUACCCAAAGAAUAAGCACCGGCUAACUUCGUG
This 492-nucleotide ribosomal RNA is filed under the name uncultured bacterium. RNAcentral describes it as "partial 16S ribosomal RNA". It matches the Rfam family "Bacterial small subunit ribosomal RNA", at positions 29 to 507 of the family's 1533-position model. The record is from RNAcentral.